Molecule: long non-coding RNA, 9556 nt
Organism: Parus major (Great Tit)
Lineage: Eukaryota; Metazoa; Chordata; Aves; Passeriformes; Paridae
Exons: 2
Source: RefSeq, a predicted model, not a curated record
UCUAUCCAUCAUCCAUCCAUCCAUCCAUCCAUCCUCGGGUGGUCCCAGGGCUGCGGCCAAGGUCCCUCAGUGCCGUGCUCGCUCCUAAACCUGCAGCAAGUGACUCCUGCCAAAAGGCAGCCUAGCUUUUCCUGCAGGGCAGGCUCUCCCCACAGCUCACUGAGGAACCUGAUCAGCCUUUCCAGCCAGGAAGGCGAUGGGAAAGCCCUGAAGGGUGUAGGGAUUUCAGGGAUACACAGCAGCACCCAUCUGCUUGGCCAUUUUUAUGCCAAAGACAAGUUGUUGGUGGUGUCUGGACUUGCCCUCAGAAGCGUCUAAGGAUGGCAUUUGAAAAUGUGUCACCACCCUUACUCAAAGAUGAGGGGAGUGGUGUUUCUCAGAAUCAGAAUGAUUGACAGUUAAUCAUCUCCUUUUUCUCUUAUGCCUUACAACUAGGAAAAGUAUUUAAAUCAUUAACUGAAAAUCGAAGUUGGAGCUAACUGCAGACUUCCACAGCUUCAUUUAAAAGAUAAGGCACUCUUUUUCACAUUCUUCUGGUAUUUUAUUUCUCAUCCCAGGGUUCUCAGAAGUAACUCCUAAAGAUUUUAUAACUUCAUGACUCAUUUUCAGGCAUACUGACACUGUGGAUCAACAGUUUCUGCAUGGAGAAACUACAUGGACGUUUCCAGUGUCUUUAAACUUUUCUGGAUUUUUUCCAAACAAAAAUGUAUUACUUCUACAUUUUCAUUUUUCAAAACCUUAUCUGAGCAUAGGGCUAUGUCUCCUUGGUAGAAAUGCUAUUUGGGUUUACAUUUUUAAAAACUCAUCUGGUAACUGAUAUUGUCAACUUUUUCAGUGGAAAAAAAAAAUAAUCCUAAGGGUUGGUACAAAGAAAAAUUUAAAUUACCUGAUUAGAAUUCAAGGUUGAGAAACAGAAAGAAUGGGAAGAUUGUGUUUGGGGAAGUUUACUUUUAAUGAUUUCAUAGCUGUGAUUCAUUUUGUCUUCUGUUGAUUUUCCACCUGCACAAACCUUUUGACAUCCACUUAGGAAGACACAAAAUCAAUAAUGGGCAGAGAAAGGCAAAAAUAUUUCAAAUUUGCCAGUAAGUAGCUGAAAAUCAGAAAAGGAGAAAAAUGAUGGAGACGUGAAACCUAUGAAAUCUAAACAUCCCACUAGGCCAAGCAGAAUUACAGGGUAUUGGAAAAUAUGACUAAGGACAUAUGGAAUUAAUUCUGAAAAUAAACCUGUCUACAUUUUUUCUUAAGGUCUCCAAAGCUGGUGCUCGGCCUAACUCAAGAUUCAGAUCCUGAAAUCAGAUUGGUUUUCUAGCAGCAGUCUCAGACUUUCUCCCUGGUAGGGAGAAUAGGAAUAAACUAUUUCUCCAAUGAAAUAGUUUAUUCCCCCACAGUCUGAAAAUGUUUGCUUUUAAAAUACACUAAUUCUGUGCCCUCAGAGGGCACAACUCUCUGUAGCUGCUUUGCUUAAUACAGAAUUUUUUAAAGGAGAUAGGAAGUGUGAAAUAGACUUCCAUUUUCAAGAAAUUCUAGACAUGGUACAAGAAAAAGAAGGAAAGAUGAAGACAAGUUAUUAUUUACAAAUGGAAGUUUAACUACCUUUAAAAAAAAAAAAAAGUACUACUGAGUUUUAUUGUUUUAAACACAGAGAUUAUGUAUCCUGUUCCUGUGAUUGAAUUCUCUCAGAAAUGUUGCUGGCAAUAAAUAAAGCUAUCCUAGUGAAACGUUAUGAUUCUGUUGCUAUGAUUACAAUGAAUAAUGCAGAGAGUCAAUGAAGUAGAUGUGUUAAUUAUACAUAUUUACAUUUCCAAAGACUCACUUCUUCUCUUGUGGGUAUCACAGUCGGCAAUACAUUGUCUCGCCACUGAGUGGAGCUCCUUACGUAUUUAUUAGUGCAGUAAAACUAACAGAGCUCCAACUGUGAGGUGACCUAGUGAUGGUUAUUUCAGCUUCUGCCUGGCAGCUGCGUGGGCACGGCACUCAACAAGUUACUAAAUGCUUAAUUCUCUAAAAUUAAUUAGCUAAACAGGUAAAUGGAAAUCUCCAAGACACAGCAGCAGGGCUUUGUUAGACCUCAAAUAUGAGUUAUUUUAAUGAAUAGCAAAACAUUCAGUGUAGUUAAUUUCUCUACCUCUGUUCUUUUAUUUUGGGGGUUUUCUCGGUUGGUUGAUUGAUUUUUUGUUUGUUUGUUUGUUUGGGAAAUGCCCUGCAUUAAUCUGCACAGCUAAUUCAGGGAGGAAAAAAAUGAAAGAAAGAAAAAGAAGAGGACUCUCUGUUUGCUGAAGGAUGAUGUGUUACAGAUGCUGCAUGCAGAUAUGUGAGAGCAAUUGCAGAGCUGUGUUGCUGGGUUUCCACAGCGGGGAUAAUUAAAAAUGAGUGCCAGCCUUGAGCAGUCAAUUAUCACUGAGUAACAAGAUGAAAGAUAAGAGGCAGAUGUAAUCAUAUUUCACAAAUAAUACAUCAGUGUGCCUCUAGUCAAGGAGUCCUUUCUACAUCAGCUUUUCACAGCAAGUGACCAUAUUUUUUCCAGUUUCCUGUAGCUUUUUUUAACAUUCAUCUGGGGAAUGUGAGUGCUCUUGUGGUGGGUGUUUGUGGUAGGACAGACUUCUACAGCGUAUCCUGAGAGCAUUUGGGUAGAAACUGGGGAUCCAUUUCCUUUCCUUGUAAGUUUGGUAGUACAGUUUGUGUGUGAUAGACAGGGAAAUGGGAUGUAGAGGAACAGGAAAGAAUGUGAAGAGGAGUGUGAGACAGCAACAGGAGAAGUGGUUUAGCAGGAGAAAUGUAAGCUGGAUAGGAGGGGAAAUGGGAGAUUUAUCAAUUCUGUACCUCACAGUUGCAUUGGUACCUUUUUUCCUGCUGAGGUCACAUAUAAGAUUAUUCUUUAACCAUCAUGUUAGUGCCAGGAUCUCAAAACAAUUUGCUCUUAUGAGAAGAACAUUGCUCCUAACGUUGUCAGGAGCUUUUCCAUCUGUCUGGAGGGCAGGGAUCCAGCACAUUCAGAGCAUGCACCAACCACAGAAUGAUAAAACCAAAAAGGGAUAUUUAAAAUUGUUUAAUCUCUGCUGUAAUAGUUUCUCUGUUCCUCAGUCUUCAGGUCCCUUUCUGUCUUUUGAGAGGUAACAGUUGGUAGUUUUGGCCAGAUAGAGAGGAGAGACGAGAAGGAAAUGAUUCAUUGAUCGAUCCAAAUGUCUUCAGAACACAGUGUUGCUAAAGUUACAGGUUCUUCAGCUGGCUGAGCAUGAAGCGGGGAGAAAUCAACAAGUUCUCAAGACAGCUUCACACCCAUCAAGAGCCUUUGAAGUUUAACAACAAAGCCUGACUCUAAGGGCAGAAUUAUUGGGCCAAGUAAGGAAAAGUCAUUAACAGUUAAUCUUAGGCGUUAUCUCAAAGUACUCAAUUUCUAUGGAAACCGAGUAUUUGGCUCUGAACACCGGGGCAUAUCCUAGGAAUUCACUGUAAGAGUAUUGGAGCAGAGCUAUCCAGUUCUGUGUCAGCCGGGACAACACUCUAGUUCUGCUUUGUCAUUUCUCUCCCCUCAUCUCCCCCACCCCGGUUUUAAAACGAAUCCUUUACCUCCAUCUAAAUCCAAAGAUUUCCAUCUUUGUAGGGACAGUAAAUCCGAAGGAAGCAGUGUAUUCUGGCAUUCUGAGAGACACUCCCUGAGAUAGCUGGGGCACUCUUGAUUUACUAAAGAGGAGCUGUGUGGGAAUUUAAUCAAGCACAGGGAAGGAAUUCUUCUGGCAAGGAAAAAAAGUCAUUUUACAGAGUCAGUAACACUCUACAGCUCCUGCAAAUCCCUUGAACAUUGUGACCACUUAAGAGUUGACAGCUGCAAACAGGUUACAGGCAAAGCUGUGUGUCACAGUAGUAUAUCCGGCAUUUUCAGCUGGCAUUUUUAUAUAAAUAAUAUGCCUAUAAAUAAUUGAUGUGAAUAUAGCACUAUUAUCAAAAAUAUGCUUCUAGUAUCUCACUUAUUGGAGACACUGAACAAACAAUCAUAUGUGAAGUGGACAAUGGGGGCAGAGUUUGGAAAGUAAUGGCUGGUAACCUAUGGAAACCAGAUGAGUAAUUUAACUGCAUGUUACAUUGUAGUGUAACAAUCAAAAAAAAUAAAAUGUCCAUUAAAAAUCUGCUCAGCACCUAGGAAUGGGCUUAUUACUACAGCUGGCAAGAGCUACAGAGAUUUCUGUCUGCAGAUCAUUAGUCAAAUAUGUGCCCACUCGAAAGACCAAAACCUGCUAUCAGUUAUUUUGUCAAAGCCCUCCUAUUGACAGCAUCACAGGAGAGGCCAAGUGCAGUUGAAUCUCAUCCUCUGAACGGCCUUCCUUCUUCUCCUGAGACUUAAAAUACAUUGGCACAAAGUUUUGAAGUUAUAUAUUAGUACAUUCAUUUCAUCCUACUGAAAAAAAACCGGAUUUGUUCUACAUGUUCCAUCACCACCUUAUCUGUCAGAUCACCAGCAUUUGCAGCACUGCUGACAGCAGCUGCGUGGAUUGCUGGAAGUGAAAUAUUUAGGGUCCUGUAGGAACUGUAGUAACCCUACCUUCCAGAAGGGCUUCAGGCUUUUACCCUGGGGCUCCUAACCAGGCUUUGAUACCUCUCUUGGCUUUCUGUGUCUUUCCUGCCUCUUUUCAGCUCCUCCGUGGCAGCCACAGCUGGUUUGCUGGACAUUAUCUUUACUGCUUUGCAAAUGCUUUGCUAACUAAAUUCAUCUGUUCCUUUCGCCCCUUUUCUCCCGCAGAAGUUGAUGACAAUGCAGCAGACUCAGAUAAAGCUGGGUUUUGGCUUUCUGUGCAAGCUUUCGGUUCACUGCCUACGAGUCUCUCGGUCUCAGGAGUGGCAGCUGCUGGUUUGAUUCCAUUUGUGAAACGCGGAGUACUCAAAGGGAAGUGAGUCUGAAGCAGAACACAGUUACUGGAUGUUUGUUCAGAGCUGUAAUGAGAUUGAGUAGAUAAAAACAAACAUAAUGCUUUCAUCGGCUCUUGAUCUGACUGCGAGAACCGUGGAAAACAGUGAUAGCAAGCACAAAGGUUUCAAGAUGAAACCUCUAUUAAUUCCUUUGCUGAGAAUCUUCAUACUUCUACCCAAAAAAAUACAGUGCUUUGCUUUUAUCUUAAGGGAUGUUACUGAAAGUAGCUCAGAUUCCACAUCCAGAUACCACAUGAUUGGCAUUAAGCUUGUAGUUGCAAAAUGUUUUACAAGUCGAUCCCUACUUGUGUAAUGCACUAAACCAAAAGCCAAACUUCCAACUCUUGAAGUCUAUAUUUGGAUUGUUUUCACUAAACAAGUUAAUUGAGUCUAAGAUUACUUCUAAAAUAUUUUCCAGAAAACUAAAUUUAGCUUUUCAACCCCAUUUCCACUAGAAAAUGAAGGUUAAAUAUUUUUGCUUUGAGAGCUGGGUUCAUUGAACUCUCCCAAGUCCUAACACAGGCACAAGCCAAAAAACGCCUUGAACCAACAGCUCAUACAAACUCCUGAGAGCCAAAUCAGCUGACUCUAGCAGAGCACAAAAGUUUUUAAACUCAUUUCAGCUUCUUUUAUGAAGAUAAUCCAAGCAGUACCAACUUGCUUUUUCCACAAGCAUCUUCUUUGCUUCUCCCAGGACAAAAUGAUAACAUUGGAGUCAAAGACUUGCAGUGUCACAGAGUCAUGGCCUAGAUUUUUUUUUGUACUGAAGCAACAGAUCUGCAAGAGAGCAAAUACUUGCUUUAUAAUAUAGAAAACAAUGUCGGAAAAUAACAGCAACAAUCAUUGUUUUUAUCUAGCCACAGUAUUUUAGAGAAGGCUGCAAUGGCCUGUCUCUCAUGUAAUGUACAGUACUCCAUUUAACAUACUUCUUUUAAUUAUUCUGUCUUGGUAAUCAAGUGCUGCCUUUGAGAGGAUGAUAAAAUUACUUUUUAUUCCCAUGCACAAACACACACAUACAAUGUAAUGUAUCAUGACCGCUUUACUCUUUUUAGAGAAGCUAAAAAAGGAGAAAUGCACAAGAGCACCCUUGUUUGAAUAAAUACUGGGCUGUCUGUAUGGAAUAACAAUUAUAUGCUGAAGCUAGAGCAGAUGUAUGGGUGUGAAUCACAUAAGGGUAGGUUGGGGAAUUAUAAUCAGCUAAACAGACCUAGGAAUCAAUCAGCAGUGGAAAUUUUUCUCUGGCUAAACAGCAGAUUUUUCUGACUAUUAUGGGGAAAGUGAUUUUUCAGCCCAUGUUUUGCAAGGGUAGUGUGAAAGUUCCCGAAGUGUAGGACAUACAUUUGUGGCACAGAAAUGUAAAAUGAAAUGAGAUCUGACACUGCCAUUGGCAGCCACUGUUGUGACUGAUGAAGAAAUUUUGUGGAUCCCUUUAGUACUCUGCAAGAAGAACAGCUCUGGAGUUAGGAUGAGACACAAAUGCUAUUUUUUCCUGGGUUUGCCAUACCCUCUGACCAAGGUCAGAUUUGGAUUAAUUUGUAUCACCACCAGGUAUCCAAGUGUUAGUAUAGUCAGUAGAAGGAGGCAAUAAAAGUAAUUUUCUUUAAAAGGUGAGGUCAGCUUCUGUGUCACAAAUGAUGCAAUGUUAUGGUGUGUCUUCAUGGGCAUUUCUGAUGUUCCUUUGAUAUUUCCAUAUAGAGGGUCAUCUUAAAUGUCCUUUGCCUACUUUUCUUCAUCAUUUCUUCAUUAUCAUGCAAAAAAAAAUCAUUCUGGUCAUUCAGUGGCUUUCCCAGCACUGUGUUUGUGACCUGCUUACUCUCUUAUUAAACAGCUUUACCUGAACCACCAACACAGACACACUCCCAAGAGCAGAGACCUGAAAAGUCAGGAUGCAAAUUUUGUCUUCAGCCAGGUCCUUUUUUCUCUUCUUGUUGGUUUUUCAUUUCACAGGUGCCAUGUUAUCUCGUGUUAGACCCUUGGAAAUGACCAAAGGCAUCGGUAAGCUCAGGGUUCUGAAGCACCCUCCAACAUCCUGCCAGAAGCAUCUUCCAUCAACUUCAGGUAGGAAGCAGAUGGACUGAGAAGAACGGGCUGUUAGCAGUGAUUACACACCCUGACCUCUUUGAUUGGAUGGCAUUUAUUCAGUGAGCCAGGGAGCCAGCAGAAAAGUCAUUUUAUCUGUGUGUUUUGUGGGCAAUCUCAGAUGAGAGUUAAGACAGAAAGGCAAAGAAACAGGACCAAAGUCUUUGCUGGGGCACUGCAGGGAAAUGUGGGGUCUUGCAGUCGAGCUCUUGCUGCUCUCAUACCUCCUCUGAGUGGAGACUUGACACUAAUGUUUGUAAUUUCAUCACAAAUGCAUUACUCUACCAAAAGAUUUUAUUAUACUCCAUCCAGCAUUGAAGAAAGUUUCUAUACUAUUAUCCCUUCUACAGAAAUUCCACAUGCAUUAGCUGCUUCCCAAAAGACAUGUAGCUGCUUCUGGCAGCUAACUGAUUUCUAGCCCUGGAAUUAAAAUAAUUCCAAAUAAUGGGGAAAAUGUAUGGUAUUCCAGAUUUUUGAACAACUUCUAAAAUAAAUAUAAGUCUUUUCCAAUAAGCUUGGAUAUGAUUAUUGAGCAGUGACUAAAAACAAUCAAGCCUAUUUCUAGUGGUAACUGAAAUUUCCAUUUGUUUCCAGUAAAUCCACUGGGCAUUUGUAAGGUGAUACCUGAAAGCAGAUUGAGCACUUACUUCUAUUUCCACAAUCUUUAUUGGGUAGAUUAAAUCACUACAUAAAACUUAGUUAAUUGGAGAGAAGAUGGUGCAAUAAAAGCAGAAACCAAACCUAGUGCAAUCCAACCCAGCAAUCAUACGUGGGCUGUCUGUUGCAUCCUGUUUUAUAGACAAUAUUGCUACUCCCAGGGAUGGGGGAUUCCCACCUCUCCAAAUUUAUUUUACACACACAACAAACCUGUCACAUACGGGCUCCAGAACAUGACAAUCUGCAAAACUAGCCUGGAGUGGCUUCUGACUGCCAAAGAAGCACGUAUUUAUUAAUGGAAAUCACAAGCUUCCCUCAGAGAAAUAAGUCCACCGUGAAUUUCAUGGAAGCAAUAGGAGCCUAAAGAUAACAGUGUAUACUGGAAGCCUCUCCACUUAUCACAGUAUUUCAUCCUCCUGUUUUUAGACAAAAAUCAUUCUCAGGAAAUAGUAAGACUUGCAAACAUUUCUGCUGCUGGAUUAACUGGAUAUUGAUAAGACAGAAGGGCAAGACUUUCCUGUGGCACAGGAUAGAACCUGUGUGUCAAUACUCAAACGUUUGAUGGCAUUUUGAUGGAAUUUCUAACCAUUGGUGCAGAAAACCUGCUUGCAGCACAAAAUGGGACAGGCUAAUGAAGAGUUUGGCCACUACAUGGGAGUCAUUCAUUCCCUCUGUCAUGGUUUAAACCCAGGCAGGCAGCAAGCGCCACGCAGCUGCUUGCUCGUCCUUGGCUCAGCAGUAACUAAAACAUCUCUACAUUAUCAACACUGUUUCCAGCACAAAUCCAAAACACAGCCCCAUACCAGCUACUGAGAAGAAAAUUUACUCUACCCCAGCCAAAACCAGCAUGCUCUAUCUAAAGCAUUGUGAGAUCAGUAAGGAGCAAGAAUUCCUUUUCUGCCAAGCUGCCCUGGACAGAAAUCCUGCUUCAGUAGUUACAUGAUACCACUUGGGGAAAAUGGAGUGAUACCAGCUAUACAUCAAGUAUGAUUGUUUGGAUAUGUAAUUUUCCACAGAAGGAUCCAGUGUCAAAAAUUCCGGAGUAUUUAAUGCUUGAAUGAAGAACCAGUUAUUCAGAUUAAUGGUGUGCCGUGCCAAAAUAACAGUAGCUGCCUCCCAGAGCAAUCUGUUCAGUUAGAAUAUAUUUUCUUCCUUCCAUCCAGAUGUUGAUGUGAUCAGAAAUAUUAGCCAAUUUAUUAAGUUCAGAAGCAGCAUGGCCAAAGUUCAUCCUUAAUCUCCAUCCCAUUUCCUGGUAUCCUGCCAGAAGAGAUCCUGACUCCAGCAGCCCAUCAGUUACCACGGCUGUCCAAAGGUAAAGACAACACCAGGGUUUAUGCUGGAGAAUGCAGUAUCUUAUUUUCAGGGGGAUUAGAAGCUACAGAUAUUUUGUGUCUGAUCUUUUUAGCUUCAGGUCUACUCUGUCUGCCAGUUUGAGGGUCAGAUGCUAAUCUUCAAAGCCAUCAGCAAGUUUUAAUCUCUUUAAUAUUGGCAGAGAAUCGCUAUCUGCACUAUAGCUAAAGAGCUGCAUCCUCUCAGGAAAGCAGCUCAGAGUGUCCAGGACAAAGUACACUAAGGCUGAAGACAGAUGGUGUUGGCAGAGGGGCUUCACUACUGGGUAAUCUCCUCAAGGAGGUCACACACUCAGCAGUCCUGAACCAUAAAACCUUGUCUUCUUUCCAAACUUACCUGUUUUCCCUCUGGAAUGUUCCACUCAUCUUUCUGCUACAUUUUUUUUUUUUUUUCUUUUUUCAAUAUCAGAAACAGAACUGUGAGCUAAUGUUACUCAGAUUUAUUUACAAUCUCAGAUGAGCCAGCCUGCUGUCAUUGAAAUGCACUUGCACAAUAAUUUUAAAAAAUUAUGUUGCUUAUUUUGAGAUACUUUUGUCAGACAUGAUGGAAAUAAAUGCUGUUGUUAAAA